UACACACACCUCACAUGCACUGCCAUCUCCCCUAUAUUAUUUGCUUACUCGCUUACUCCCCCUGUCUAUUCUGUCUUUAACAGUACUCUGUGGAUUAUUUCAUUGUUUCAAUAUUUCUUAGUUUCUCUAAAUACACCGACCAUUCAAUCAUUAUAACUUUGUUCUACACGUCAAAUUAUUUGGACUAUUUUAGUUCAUAACCCUGUGGUAUUGUAUCGCAUUUAUCUUGUGCGAUUAUUUAUAUUUAGAGUACGAUUUUAGGCGGUAUCAAUUGGUGUGUUUUAAAUUUGAUGCUCUAAGUGUCAUAUAAAUUUUAGAAGUAGGUCAUAGUACCGGAAUCAUAAUGUUUUGAUCUAUGAAAACAUACACUAAAUCUUUUGGAAAAAUAGCGAAGUUACACCUCUGUUGCGUGUAUUAACGUGUCUGCAGAGGCCCUAGUGACAUGCUGAAAUAACCUUCCUUAAUGUAUAUUUUCAUUUUAUAUAGCUACACUGUUGCGGAUCAUAUGGUCCAGAAGAUUAUAGCGCAAUCAAUUUCACUGUUUUGGAGUUGCAAUACACGAUGUAUGUGCCACAGACCUGUUGUGUCCUUAGCAACAAAGAUCCAGAAAAUCCUAAACCCAGCGAUCCACUGUUGUGUCAAACUGAGGCGUUGUUAUAUGACAGUAAUUUGCGUAGGUCGACAUAUUCGACAACUUCGACAAAUUCAACAUACACAUUUUUAAAUACUAAGGGUUGCUUUGAUAGUAUAUGGGACGAAAUAAACUUGCAUUCAGACAUUAUCAUUGGCAUAUGCAUCGGAAUUAUGUUGUUUCAGUUAUUCAUGAUAUUUACGACAUGCUGGAUCAUUAAAUACUAUGAAAAAUAUAGCGAAGAAACUGACACUAAGGACAAUGACAACCUUUGAACUUGAUACAUCGUCCAGCGAAUCAGCGAAAACUAAAAUAUUUUUAUAUAUUUUUGUGCAAGCGCCGAGUGUGUUCCAACCUUGCAAACUCCACGAGAGCCGAAUCAAGCUACUGUUAUAAUGACCCUGUUAUUAUAUACCUCCAUCUUUUUUGUUGUUAUGUUAUUGAAAAAAAUCUUCAGAUUUUAUCGAUGUUUAAAUGUAACUUAGUGAAGUUUUUUACGUGCGCUAUUUAUAGAACUGUAUCAGGUACUGAUGCAUAUUAAUGAAAGUAGUCUCAGACUGGUAACAUACAUUAUUAUUCAACUCACUGUAUUAGAUCAAUUGCAAACAUCAUAUGAAACAGACAGAGCUAAAACAAAACAUAACUGAGCCAAUAUAAGAAAAACAGGGCCAAUAUGAGAAAAACAGGGCCAAUGCGGAAUUCAAGCAUUUUGAUUGGUUCAAAACAGAGGGCCAAUACGGAGAAGCCACUUCCGUUAGAUUUUUAAAUGACGCCAUUUUAUUUUACAUCAGAGUUAUAGAUUACAUUUAUUUUUAUAUUUUGACAAAAAAAUCAUCCAACAUGUUCAUUUAAUACCCAAGUAUGACUAUUUAUUUUAGCGAGCGGGCUAUAUUGUCUUACAGUCGGCAUGUGCUACUUUUUCUAUAAAAAGAUGAAUCCGGUCAGAGAAAAAAUGAUGCGUAAAGUUAUCUUGUGAAAAGCAAGGGUUGUCUGUAACUUUAGUGGAAGUGGCUCCGAUACUUGUUUACACAAUCUGUUGCACUGUAUUAUAUUCAGAUAUGAUUUUACAAGUUUUAAAAUCAUAUCUGAAUAUAAUGAUACCAUAAUUGCUUUUCGUUGAGGACACGACCAAAUAAAUAAAAUAUACUUUGUACAAAUAUCAGAGUCGCUGUGACUUCAUCAUUGUACGAGCACGUUCAGAUGCAUUAGCGAAUCUAAAAUCUGAAAGUUUUCAACAGUCAUGCUGAUUGACGAGCUUGAUAAACUUUAUAGGACAACUUUACGUAGAAGCUUAUCAUAAUGCAUUCAGUGUUUUAACAAUAUACGCAUUUAAUAGCGACCUCAAUUAAACAUACAAUUACUGACAUAAUUACUGCAGUGAUGUAAUUCUAAAUUUAAGAGCUUUCUUUGUAAUUGAAAUUCUAAUAUUUUCGGUUAUUUUCAUUUCUAUCAAUUAAUCUUUUAUCUGAACCAAUCAGACGCGUUUGUGUAGAGACCAUCAUUCUAAAUUUUAUAAAGAUCCAGUGUAACAUUCAUCCUCUACUGUGUACAUAAGGUUUUUCUUUCAAAUGACCAGGUGACCUAGUUUUUUAUCCAAGAUGAUCCAAAUUUCAAUUUUUCCUAGAUUUCAUCCAGACAACAUUCUGAUCAAAAUUCAUGAAGAUCCGGUAUAAAAUACAGUUACAAUUGCAAACACAAUUUGUUUCUUUUAUUUUUUCUAGUGGCCUAGUUUUUGAUCCAAGAUAACCCAUAUUAAAAGUUGACCUAGAUUCCAUCAAUCAUUCUGACCACAUUUGAUGAAAAUCAUUUGAAAAACUUCAGUCUCUUUCACAUAUUUAAAGCUUUAUUUUGAUUUAACCAGGUGACCAAGCUUUUUUAUUCCAGUUAACCUAUAUUCAAAUUUAUCUUGGAUUUUAUCUAGACAAGCAUUCUCAUCAAAUUUCAUAAAGAUAAGAGUUUAAAAUGCAGUUUCUAUUGCAUAGAUAAGGUUUUUCUUAAAUUUUGACCUAGUGACCUACAUUUUGACCCCAGAUGAUACAUUUUCUUAUUUAACCUAGAUUUAAACACAACAAUUAUUUUGACUAAAUUUCAUGAUCAAUUGAAAAAUACAGCCUCUAUUGCAUACACAAGCUAAAUGUUGACGGAGAAACAGACAGACGACUGACGACGGACAUCGAGCGAUCACAAUAACUCACCCAUCAGGAGCCAAAAGAUUAACAAAAUGUACAACUAUUCAAAAUUUACAAAUAUAACCUCAUAAAAAAACUUUAUCAAAACAAUACUUGGAAAAUUCAUAUAUGUAUAUUAAAUGGAACAAUAACUUUAUAUCAUUUCAAAUGAGGACAACCCAACGUAAAUAGUAAAACAUUUGAACUAUGAACGCAGAGCUCUGUUAAUACACCACAGACAUAUCUCUUUAGCGACAUGACUAUCUUCUUCACGACAGAGCUAUCUCUCACAAUAAAAAGUAAAUAAUAUGACUUCCCAACCAUUUUCAGUACAUUUUUUUUUCCAAAUGCAUUGUAUAUUUUACACGCCUACUCGGUUGGCUUCUUAAUAUUAAUCAAAAUGUAAAUAUUUGACAAUGAAAAUGUUUCCGAGACGAAAUGGCCAGAUUUACUUCUAAAUCAGCUUGUUGGUAAACAUCACCACGACCACAAAUUAAGAAUGAAUUA
This is a long non-coding RNA of Mercenaria mercenaria, 3306 nucleotides long. RefSeq lists it as uncharacterized. The transcript has 4 exons. The record is from RefSeq and is a predicted model, not a curated record. NCBI's taxonomy places the organism in Eukaryota, Metazoa, Mollusca, Bivalvia, Venerida, Veneridae.